This 468-nucleotide ribosomal RNA is filed under the name uncultured bacterium. RNAcentral's name for it is "partial 16S ribosomal RNA". It matches the Rfam family "Bacterial small subunit ribosomal RNA", at positions 28 to 507 of the family's 1533-position model. The record is from RNAcentral.
GACGAACGCUGGCGGCGUGCUUAACACAUGCAAGUCGAACGGAAAGGCCCGGCUUUUGUGGGGUGCUCGAUUGGCGAACGGGUGAGUAACACGUGAGUAACCUGCCCUUGACUUUGUGAUAACUUCAGGAAACUGGGGCUAAUACCGGAUAUGAGCUCCUGCUGCAUGGUGUGGGUUGGAAAGUUUCGGCGGUUGGGGAUGUACUCGCGGCUUAUCAGCUUGUUGGUGUGGUAGUGGCUUACCAAGGCUUUGACGGGUAGCCGGCCUGAGAGGGUGACCGGCGACAUUGGGACUGAGAUACGGACCAGACUGCUAUGGGAGGCAGCGGGGGAGAAUAUUGCACAGUGGGCGGACGCCUGAUGCAGAAGUGCUGGGUGCGGGAUGACGGCUUUCGGGUUGUAAACAGAUUUCGAAGGUGACGAAGAGUGAGUGACGGUAAUGGGUAAGGAAGCACCGGCUAACUACGUG